This 1098-nucleotide small RNA is filed under the name Oryza sativa Japonica Group (Japanese rice). Its description in RNAcentral is "sRNA Os02g0322500". Lineage: Eukaryota; Viridiplantae; Streptophyta; Magnoliopsida; Poales; Poaceae. The record is from RNAcentral.
AUCUCUUUUUCCUCGUUCUCCCCUUCUCUCCCUCACGGCUCACGCUCUCCCAGUGCCGCCGCUUCUUAGGCAGCGCCGGCGACGCCGCCGCUCUCCCUAGCGCCGGCUACCGCGCCCCACUCCGGCGACCCCUCAAGCAGAUGUCCCGCAGCCGCGAAUCGGUUUAUUGGCUCCACGCUUCUCUGCCCCUAAGCUAACCCCAGCCACCAGUCUCCUGCUGCUGCUGCCGCCGUGGAGAUGGCUGGUGGAAACACAGCGCAACUCCGGUGGCUGCAUCCCUUUCCCCCAUAGGAUCUACUCUCCUCCCCUAUUUUAAUUUUUUGGUUACCUCGGUUGAUUCUACCGUGAUUGAAAAAUGUGUGGUUCAGCUCCUCCUCCAGAACUCCAAGUCUUCUCUUCUACUGCUGCUCUUCUGGAUCUAAGGUGAUUUUGCUAGAACUGAGCUUCUCCACCUUGAGCUUGACUGAUUGUUUCCCCCCUCUUGAACUGAACCCCCAUGCUCUACUUGGAACUCAGGUAAUUCUCCUCCUUGGCUCUUGCUCUACUGGUAAUAUUUGACUGCUUCCUGACAUCUUCCUUGAUCUGCUUCUGGUGAUUCUCUUCCUCCUCUUCAGACUGAUCCUCUUGCUUGAUUUUCGCUCCAUCUUGCUUCUUGACCUGAGUUUCAUCUCUUCCUAGAGCUGAAACCCUUCUUCAUCCAAGAACUAAACAACCCUGCUUCUCCUUCAGAUUUGGUUUUCCUCUCUCUGAUUACUUGGCCAUGGUUACUACUACUGUUGGUUCAUGUAUUGGUUUGAGCUGGACUUCAGUUGAGCUAUUUCUCUCUGGGUGGAGCUAACACUUAAGCUAAUUUUUCCUGGAGCUUGGUUCUAUGGUUGUAACUACUACUGCCGCAGCUGCUGCUUGUUUUGGUUUGCACGACCAACCCGAGACUUGGGUUGGAAAUGAUUCACACAAAUUAUUUUAUCAAUGAUAAAUAUUGUACUGGUGAUUCACCUGCUUGCAUGGCUAUUCCCAUCCUGUACUUGUGACACCUCAACAUGGCUUGUUCGGUGGGAUAACCUAAAGCUAUUUGUUAAUUUCCUUAAUUAAUGGAAA